CGCUUUGUUUGUUAUCACAACUGUCAAUACAAAUAUAUUUCCCGUUACUCCUAAUAUAAAAAUAACAGCAUUUGCAAGACUAACAUACCAGAAUAUAUACGGCGGAAGAUAAUAGGUUCCAUUUUCUUUGACAAUUGUGUCGUUUAAAGUUUCAAACGUUUUAACUGUUUCCUCCAUGUUUAGUUAUAAACUUUUUUGUAAAUUAUGCUGAUAGAUCAUAACUAUCUUUGUUAAAUACUAGGUGUAACAUAUGUCUUUCGAAUAGUCAACAUGUUGGUUAUGCUGGCAUUUUAUAAGGUUUUAUAAAAACAUAUCG
RNAcentral lists this long non-coding RNA (316 nucleotides) under Mytilus galloprovincialis (Mediterranean mussel). The record is from RNAcentral. Lineage: Eukaryota; Metazoa; Mollusca; Bivalvia; Mytilida; Mytilidae.